RNAcentral lists this ribosomal RNA (451 nucleotides) under uncultured bacterium. RNAcentral describes it as "partial 16S ribosomal RNA". It matches the Rfam family "Bacterial small subunit ribosomal RNA", at positions 29 to 523 of the family's 1533-position model. The record is from RNAcentral.
AACGAACGCUGGCGGCAGGCUUAACACAUGCAAGUCGAACGCGUGUAGCAAUACACGAGUGGCGCACGGGUGAGUAACACGUGGAUAUCUGCCUUUUGGUUCGGAAUAACUCCGGGAAACUGGAGCUAAUACCGGAUGGUUCCUACGGGAUAAAGAUUUAUCGCCAAAAGAUGAGUCCGCGCACGAUUAGCUAGUUGGUGAGGUAACGGCUCACCAAGGCGACGAUCGUUAGCUGGUCUGAGAGGACGAUCAGCCACACUGGGACUGAGACACAGCCCAGACUACUACGGGAGGCAGCAGUGGGGAAUAUUGGACAAUGGGGGCAACCCUGAUCCAGCCAUGCCGCGUGAGGGAUGAAGGCCUUCGGGUUGUAAAGCUCUUUUGGCGGGGACGAUGAUGACGGUACCCGCAGAAUAAGCCCCGGCUAACUUCGUGCCAGCCGCCGCGGUAA